GAUCCUGGCUCAGGAUGAACGCUGGCGGCGUGCUUAACACAUGCAAGUCGAACGGGAGUUUACAUGUGAGCGGAGGGUGCUUGCAUCUAACAGUCUUUUGUAAACUUAGUGGCGGACGGGUGAGUAACGCGUGGGUAACCUGCCGUAUACAGGGGGACAACAGUUGGAAACGACUGCUAAUACCGCAUAAGCGCACAGGACCGCAUGGUCUGGUGUGAAAAACUCCGGUGGUAUACGAUGGACCCGCGUCUGAUUAGCUAGUUGGUGAGGUAACGGCCCACCAAGGCGACGAUCAGUAGCCGGCCUGAGAGGGUGAACGGCCACAUUGGGACUGAGACACGGCCCAAACUCCUACGGGAGGCAGCAGUGGGGAAUAUUGCACAAUGGGGGAAACCCUGAUGCAGCGACGCCGCGUGAGUGAAGAAGUAUUUCGGUAUGUAAAGCUCUAUCAGCAAGGAAGAAAAUGACGGUACUUGACUAAGAAGCCCCGGCUAACUACGUG
Molecule: ribosomal RNA, 502 nt
Filed under: uncultured bacterium
Lineage: Bacteria
Description: bacterial SSU rRNA
Rfam family: Bacterial small subunit ribosomal RNA
Source: RNAcentral